UCGACCUCUACCUCCCCGCCGACCCCUUCUUUGCCCCGCCCCGCAUCCCCUCCCCACACGCCUUCCUCCUGCACGACCUCACCGACCGCGUCGCCGUGCUCGAGCUCGCGGCCCGCGCGGCCGCCCCGCAGCCGGCGCGCCGCAAGUACACCUAGGUGGCCACGGAGCCCGGCGGCCGGAAGGUCAAGUGGACGGCGGAGGAGAAGCCGCGCGGCGGGGGCCGGACGCUCAAGUGGGAGGCGGAGCUCGCCUCCCCCAACGACGACGGAGACCGCAAGUGGAGGUGGGAGGCCAAGUCCAAGGGCGGCGCCGGAGGCAAGACCAAGACCAAGUGGGGCACCGAGAUCAAGGGCAAAGGCUCACUCGAGCCAUGGUCGCAUGCCUACACAUGGGAGGAGGACUUCACCGCCUCCGACGACGACGAGGAUGAGCUGGAGGUCGAGGAGCGCAGGCCGGAGAAGCCCAAGAAGAUCAAGGCCGCCGCCAAGGACAAGGAGGAUGUCAAGAAGAAUAAGAAGCCGGCGAGGACGUGCAUCCAGAUCGAGUAGAUCCCCGAGGACAACACCGCCGGCUGCGACGCCAUCCGCAAGGCCUUUGCCAUGGGGAACGGCAAGGGGAAGGCCAAGGAGCUGUCGCCGCAGGAUGCCGUGCUGCUCAUCCAGAUGA
Molecule: ribosomal RNA, 666 nt
Filed under: Triticum aestivum (bread wheat)
Lineage: Eukaryota; Viridiplantae; Streptophyta; Magnoliopsida; Poales; Poaceae
Description: partial small subunit ribosomal RNA
Source: RNAcentral